AUCAACAUAGUGAUAGCAAGAAAAGAAUGUCUAUCCUUCCAGUAGUAGAUGAACUAUUCAUAUUCUCAUCCCAUUCCGUCCGCCCACUCACCCACCCAUCCACCCACAAACCUUUGUUUCCUUUUUCACAAAGGAGGUAUGUGACCACGCAUCUGCAUAAAGCGUAGGACAGAGACUCAAAAAGUCAAUGACCCUGAAAAGUUUUCUUUCCCCGCCGUCUCGCUCUUUCUAGAGUGGGGGCAAAGGAAUAAAGGGGGCAUCUCUGCUCAACCCUUCUUUUAACAUUUAUCUUUUUCCUGAGAAUAGCAGACGGACCGAGAAAGAUUUGUCUUCUCAUCUAAAGGUAAUAAUGUUCUCAUUCUCAUUUCAAUCAUUACCGGAUGUUUUCCAAUUUGAGAAAUUUCGCAUUUUUUCUCAUUCGCUGAUUCAUUCUCUUAAGGUUAUGUUGUGAUAUUAUUUGGUACUUUUAAAAACUCGCCGAAAUUAACUACAGCCUGUUUGCUAUUCGAGUGAAAUCGCAAAAUUAUAAGAAUUUGCUUUCUCUUUGUAUGGAUGAUGCAAAAUGGACCAUGUACAUGAUUUCUACUGAUCUCUUGCUGUUGUAUAACCGUUGAUUGAUGAUAUUCGCAGAGGGUGGUUAAUUUUAUCAAUGAUUCUGCCUUUUAGGAGUGUAGAUUUCUGUUCAUUAUUCGCCUACAAGGUGAAUAAAUUAUGAUCAAGUAAAAAAAAAAAAUUGUCGGGUAAAGUUUCUGCGCCGUUAUUGCUGGAAAAGAUAAAAAGAAUAGGGGAUGCCAUUUUAGCGACCUUGGAUUAAUAUGGGGGACUUUGACAGAGACGUAUCCUGGGAAGAAAAUUCCAGGAUUUGCUUCGAGGUUAAAUUGGACAUGCCGCUCCUGCUCCCCGCAGGAGCACUAGGCACGCACCCGCCCUCACAGUCUAAUCUCUGUCUGCCACGUGCCUGCCGCUACUGAUUUGAAUCCAAUCACGUUGUAUCAGCAGCCUAGAUGGUACGUCGACUGGUUAAAACAUGUUACGAGGGUUUACAUGUUUACUCAAUGCACGGACCGGAUAUUAGUGAUGCCGUUGCCGCUAUGCUUUAUCUACAAGCUACUAAUUAGUUAGAUAAUCUAUCUACUUUACCAUGUCCUGUCGCUUAUAGGGAUUACUUUCGAUUAACCCAACUAAUAAAAUUAAUUAUCUUCGAAUUAUUCGCAAAUUAAUGGAAACCUCAACUUGUCCUCAAUUACUAUUUAGAGAGAUAAGGGAAAAAUGUUCUCAACAAUAGUUAGGGUUAAAUUUUGAUUUAUAAUAAUUUAGAGGUACUUUAAGCAUAAACAAUUUAUGAAGGGGGUAAAUUGAAAUUAAUCCCUCUUAAAACAGUUUUUAAUCAAUAACGCGAUCACCAGAGCGGUCAGCUUAUUUGACAUUUGCUGUACAAAAAGCAGCAGAAACUUAAAUGAAUGCAUGGUUCGUAAUAAUUAUCGAUAAGUUUACAAUUAUCAAUAUCUCGGAACUUAAGUGCUUUUCCAAUUAAAAUAUAAAGUGAUGAUUUAAUAGCUAUCAAAAACUAUUAAAAUAUAAAAAAUAAUUAAAUUUUAAUCAUGUGCACCCAUGAUAAUAUUUUUAAAAUUGAAGUUACGAGAUAGAUUUUUUUUUUAAUAAUUAUUUUAUACAAUACAAUUAAAGUUUAAUAUAAUUGAAGCCCAUCUAAAAGUUCAAUCAACUCAAUGUAUUAAAGUUUAAUAUAAUUAAAGCUCAUUGAAGACUUGGAAGAGACUCGAACCUUCUAGUUCUCUACGUUAAAUAUAUAAAUAUAAAGAGAGGACAUGCCGAUCAGGGUUAGGAUUAGGAGAUAAUCUUGGAAGUUGUGAAAAAUACAAUAAAAUUGCUUAUCAGAAAAAAGUAGACACAGAUCAUUUUAAAAAGAAAAAAAAAAAGAAGAAAAAUUACAGAAUCUCCAUGCAUACGACCCAAUAAGAUAUUUGCUUGCCACGUAUAUACAUACAACUGUUUCAUCUCCCUUUGGCUGGGCAUUGCUAUAAAUACCUUGGCCUAGCACUAGCAGUACAACAUCAUCAAUCCCCCCUUACUUUCUUUCGCCCCAACAACAACGGCAAGCUUUUCUUCUCACUAUAAUAAUAAUAAUAUAUAUAUAUUAUUUGUAUACUUUUGUCGUCUUUUUCACUUCAAUUCGUUUACAUUUCUCCGCUUCCCCCACCCAAAAAAAACAAAAA
Molecule: long non-coding RNA, 2234 nt
Filed under: Citrus x clementina
Lineage: Eukaryota; Viridiplantae; Streptophyta; Magnoliopsida; Sapindales; Rutaceae
Description: Citrus clementina (C. clementina) long non-coding RNA (CCLE_LNC006458)
Source: RNAcentral